UCCAGACUCCUACGGGAGGCAGCAGUGGGGGAUAUUGCACAAUGGGGGAAACCCUGAUGCAGCGACGCCGCGUGGGUGAAGAAGUAUUUCGGUAUGUAAAGCCCUAUCAGCAGGGAAGAAAGAAGACGGUACCUGACUAAGAAGCCCCGGCUAACUACGUGCCAGCAGCCGCGGUAAUACGUAGGGGGCGAGCGUUAUCCGGAUUCACUGGGUGUAAAGGGAGCGUAGACGGCCGUGCAAGCCAGGAGUGAAAGCCCGGGGCCCAACCCCGGGACUGCUCUUGGAACUGUGCGGCUGGAGUGCGGGAGGGGCAGGCGGAAUUCCUGGUGUAGCGGUGAAAUGCGUAGAUAUCAGGAGGAACACCGGCGGCGAAGGCGGCCUGCUGGACCGCGACUGACGUUGAGGCUCGAAAGCGUGGGGAGCGAACAGGAUUAGAUACCCUGGUAACA
This 449-nucleotide ribosomal RNA is filed under the name uncultured bacterium. Its description in RNAcentral is "bacterial SSU rRNA". It matches the Rfam family "Bacterial small subunit ribosomal RNA", at positions 330 to 795 of the family's 1533-position model. The record is from RNAcentral.